RNAcentral lists this long non-coding RNA (2273 nucleotides) under Homo sapiens (human). RNAcentral's name for it is "HSALNT0294458". Lineage: Eukaryota; Metazoa; Chordata; Mammalia; Primates; Hominidae. The record is from RNAcentral.
GCAAUUGGACAAAGCCAUCUAAACCCAAAGCAAUGGCUCGAUGGAGUUCACCAGGGAGGAUCUUGCUCUGAUCUAAAUAUACAGUGGAAAUCUGAUGUGAUCUAGGCUGCUGCACCUCAUCUACUAAAACCAAAUCCUGGAAAAGAUUUCUAUGAGAUGGUUUCUGUCAUUCUUCCUAAACUGGGAGCUAAGUGAUUAAUAUAGAGGAAAACUCACAGAUAAACAUAUCUCUGCAAAUGCAAAUAAGUACUAAAGUGCUGGUAACCAACAUCCCCACCCUGGUUCCUCUUAGCACUUCAGUCAAAGGCACACUUCGAACAGAAGAAUCUGAACCACAAAUUUAGCCAGUCUCUACUACCUUCAGAAAGGCUUCCAGAAGUCAUUUUCCUCCCAGACCUCCUAGAUUUCUAAUUUCUCUAUUCCUGCUAGGAGGGACACUACUACCCAAUCUAGGAGUAUCUUGGAAGAUUCAAGUGGGAAACCAUUCAGAUCUGUCUCUUCCCCUCAUCGCAUCAACAUUUUAAUCUGUCUCUACACAACGCAGGAUUCACAAGGGAAGUCUCAAAUCCCAUAGCGUUGCUUACAAGCAGCGUGACAACAAGGAUGAAGCCAGAGAGGCACCUAUGGUACAAAAUUUUAAAAGCAUGAAUUUCCCUCAACCUUAAGAAGAGAUGGAAUGUUCAUAAUGAGGAAGAAGUCUUCUGAUUUUCUAAAUAGGUAAUCACAACACAGAAGAGUGAAGAAGGACACAGGCUCUUAGCCACCAUGGCCUAAAACUGUCCCACACCUCUUCAACUCACAUCCUACUGUCCACAACCAGUCAUCAGUCAUGUGCAACGUUCACACAUAAAAGCCCUGGAAAAUGAAGGCCAGUGAUUUGCCUAGGAAAAGUAGAUGAAGAGAGCAGACUGGCCUUACCUUUGAAUAACCCUAAGCAAGUUAUCAACCUGUCUUAACCUACUUCUUCUUCUAAAAGAUGGGAAUAACAACACCAGCAUCCUUCUAGUGUGUGAAAGUUCAAACAAAAUGAAGCAAAAUCUUCACAGAGUAUCUGGCAAGUAGCAAAAUCUAAAUUAAGGUUGAUUAUUUGAGCCCAUCCCCAUCACUUCCAUAAGAGACAAUGGAAAUGAUGUUAGACAAAAAGUGAAUUCAGCAGUUUUCUUAUUUGAAUUCAAAAUGGGUCAUAAAGCAGUGAAGACAACUUGCAACAUCAACAAUACAUUUGGCCCAGGAACUACUAAUGAACCUACAGUAUAGUGGUGGUUCAAGAAGUUUCAUAAAGGAGACAGCCUUGAAGAUAAGGAGCACAGUGGUCGGCCAUUGAAGUUGACAACAACCAGUUGAGAGCAAUCAUCGAAGCAGAUCCUCUGACAACUACACGAGAAGUUGCCGAAGAACUCAUCGUUGACCAUUUUAUGAUUGUUCGGCAUUUGAAGCAAAUUGGAAAGGUGAAAAAGCUUAAUAAGUGGGUGUUAGGAUCACCUAAGCAGACCAUUCCCUUCCCCUCCCACAGGCCUUACAAUACAGUCUCUUGCGCUCUCCACACAGUCACCCCAGGGCAAAAGACAAACCCCCCACUUCACUGACCCCUCCACUAACUGUUUGUCCAGGCAGUUACAGGAUGCCAUUAACGUCUGUUCACCUCACAUAACAAAGCUGGCAAAAAACAUCUCCAGGAUGCGGACAAGACACUUGCAUCCCCGAAUCAGCUCCCCGACCCUGACCCAGUUCCUCAUCCUAUAAAGCCCUGCUGUAGUCUGUAAGUGUGGCUGCCUCCUCUGCUUUUGUCAGGAGGUAGCCCGGCAGGACUGACAAUAAAUUAGCUUGCCUGAACUUGGGUCUAUUGGCCUCAUUCCUUUCUUGGCUGUCCUUCCAAUUAUCCCUUACAGUGGGAGCCUCAUGAGCUGAGCAAAAAUUUUUUUAAAAAAUUAUCAUUUUGAAGUGUUGUCUUCUCUUACCCUAUGCAACAACAAUGAACCAUUUAUCGAUCAAAUUGUGACAUGCGACAAAAAAUGUAUUUUAUAUAACAACCAUCAAUGGCCAGCUUAGUGGCUGGACUGAGAAGAAGCGCCAAAGCACUCUAAGGCUGAACAAAUUGGGCUAUGAAGUUUUGCCUCAUCCACCAUAUUCAUUUGCCCUUUUGCCAACGAACUACCACUUCUUCAAGCAUCUCCAUUACUUUUUGCAGGUAAAACACUUCCACAACCAGAAGGAUGCAGAAAAUGCUUUCCAAGAGUUCACUGAAUCCCAGAGCAUGGAUUUUUAUGCUACAG